RNAcentral lists this ribosomal RNA (280 nucleotides) under Phocaeicola plebeius DSM 17135. RNAcentral describes it as "partial 16S ribosomal RNA". It matches the Rfam family "Bacterial small subunit ribosomal RNA", at positions 493 to 776 of the family's 1533-position model. Lineage: Bacteria; Pseudomonadati; Bacteroidota; Bacteroidia; Bacteroidales; Bacteroidaceae. The record is from RNAcentral.
UUGGUAAUUUGUCAGCCGCCGCGGUAAUACGGAGGAUGCGAGCGUUAUCCGGAUUUAUUGGGUUUAAAGGGAGCGCAGACGGGUCGUUAAGUCAGCUGUGAAAGUUUGGGGCUCAACCUUAAAAUUGCAGUUGAUACUGGCGUCCUUGAGUGCGGUUGAGGUGUGCGGAAUUCGUGGUGUAGCGGUGAAAUGCUUAGAUAUCACGAAGAACUCCGAUUGCGAAGGCAGCACACUAAUCCGUAACUGACGUUCAUGCUCGAAAGUGUGGGUAUCAAACAGG